RNAcentral lists this long non-coding RNA (450 nucleotides) under Pongo abelii (Sumatran orangutan). RNAcentral describes it as "lincRNA". The record is from RNAcentral. Lineage: Eukaryota; Metazoa; Chordata; Mammalia; Primates; Hominidae.
GCCGGCGCUGCUCUCUCGCCUCGCGGUUGCGGGGUCCGGAAUGGAGAGGGGGAGGGGGCUGAGCGUUGGCUGCCGGAGACUAGCUGAGGAGAUUUUAGAACAAACAGAGAUACAUGUGGAUAGCAGCCAAUACAGAGAGAGGGAGAGAGAAAAAGGUAGGAUCAGAAGCUAUAUUUGUAACUUUUGAUUAGUGAACUAGAGAAGGAAGCCUAACACUGCAGGACCAUGACCUUCACACCUACUUUAGUGGCCCUUCUGGGUCAGAGAUGGAUGAAAUGAAAAUGCAAUUUCUCUGAGCCCAGGAAUUGAGUUUCUGAAAUCUGAAUCACUGGGGUGCCUGAAACUCUGCUGUCUAAUGGAUGAAUGGAAUCAAAAUGUGAAGAUAUGAUUACCAUGAAUCCUUUGUACAGGUGAUCCAGUUAACUACUAAUAACAAACCAUCCUUAAACU